UAGGGAAUAUUGGACAAUGGGCGAAAGCCUGAUCCAGCAAUGCCGCGUGAGUGAUGAAGGCCUUAGGGUUGUAAAGCUCUUUUACCAGGGAUGAUAAUGACAGUACCUGGAGAAUAAGCUCCGGCUAACUCCGUGCCAGCAGCCGCGGUAAUACGGAGGGAGCUAGCGUUGUUCGGAAUUACUGGGCGUAAAGCGUACGUAGGCGGUGACUCAAGUCAGAGGUGAAAGCCUGGAGCUCAACUCCAGAACUGCCUUUGAAACUAGGUCGCUAGAAUCACGGAGAGGUGAGUGGAAUUCCGAGUGUAGAGGUGAAAUUCGUAGAUAUUCGGAAGAACACCAGUGGCGAAGGCGGCUCACUGGACGUGUAUUGACGCUGAGGUACGAAAGCGUGGGGAGCAAACAGGAUUAGAUACCCCCGUAGUCCCUGAGCGGGCUGGCAAGGCGCAU
Molecule: ribosomal RNA, 447 nt
Filed under: uncultured bacterium
Lineage: Bacteria
Description: bacterial SSU rRNA
Rfam family: Bacterial small subunit ribosomal RNA
Source: RNAcentral